This 627-nucleotide long non-coding RNA is filed under the name Medicago truncatula (barrel medic). RNAcentral's name for it is "lncRNA gene25645". The record is from RNAcentral. Lineage: Eukaryota; Viridiplantae; Streptophyta; Magnoliopsida; Fabales; Fabaceae.
UUUGAUAAACAAUAAAGCACCAAAAGUAUACUUGUAUUUAUCUUCUUCUCUGUUUCCUUCAACACCCAAACACAGUGACAAGGAAGUUUUAAUAUUUACAACAACAAAAAAAUAGAUCCUAAAAUUACCUCAAAUUCCUAAUCUCUACUGCAUCGUAAACCCCUAAUCUAUCCCCUCCCCCUAAUUUCUUGCAGGCAAGGAAUUCUCCUGUUUGCUUAAGAGAUUCAGAUAGGAAGCUCUGUGUUGCUUAUGAAAAGUGAAAUUCGAUCGUGGUCAAGACCUCUAUACAUGCGACAAACUGCAAUGUGCGGCCUCCGUGUUUGAUGGGAUUGCGUGUGCGACGAAGGUACUGUGUUCUUGCCACACUGCUGUUUUAUUAAGAGAUUCAGAUGGGAAGCGAGAGUCAGGAUAUCAAAAUGAUAAGGGGGCUUGACCUUAGUAGAAGUUGAAAGGCGUGGAUCAUCUCUUUGUUUGUAGCUUGGAUGGAACCAGCAUUUGUUUUGUAAGAGACACUGUUUCUGUGUGUUUAGGUACCUGUUUAUAUAAUAUGCCUCGCCAACACUAACAGUUGAUUAACAUCAGUGUAACAUAUUGACCUAAUUACAAAAAAAAAAAUAUAUUAGGAAC